RNAcentral lists this ribosomal RNA (1158 nucleotides) under Triticum aestivum (bread wheat). RNAcentral describes it as "partial small subunit ribosomal RNA". The record is from RNAcentral. Lineage: Eukaryota; Viridiplantae; Streptophyta; Magnoliopsida; Poales; Poaceae.
AUGGCCAUGGUGGAAUAUGAUGCACCCCCCCCCCCCACAUGGUUCCAUCAAGAUGAUGAUAUUGACAACCAUUUGAUCUUUCCCACCUCACCUACACCACUUGAGUGGAAUGAAAAAGGUAACAUAGGUGAAGGUGAUGCUCUAGUCCCACUAGUGGACAUUCUUGACAUUGAUUGCUUGCAUGAUGUUGAUCCACCUAUUGCCAUGCUUCAUGCUAGUAUGAUUUCCCCAUGUGAUGAUUUCCCCAUUUAUGAUGAAUAUGAUGAUUCUCAUGUGGAGUUUAUUAGUAGUGAUGCCAUGUUACAUAGGAUUUCUUGUGACAACUCUUUAGGUCACAUCAUGUUUGAUAAUCCGCUUGACUUGUCAUAUGCUAUGCAUGAGAUCAACCAUAUGUCUUAUUUGCAAUCUCUUCAUAGUGACUAUGCAUAUGCCAUUAAAAUAAACCCAAUUUGCACAUAUGGCAUAGAUGACAAGCCCAUGGUUAUUGGCAUUUGUUUUUCUUGUGAUGAUAUUGAUAUGCUCCCUUUGCAUAAUUUAUCUCAUAUGCCAUGCCAUGACCACCUAGAUUCGGAUAUGCAUUGUUUUGGAUGUUGUCCAUUUUCUCCAUAUGAUGUUUCCGAUAUUGCUCAUGAGGAGACCCCCAUAGUUUCCUCAUACAUGUUAGGAGAAUUUGAUCCAUCCCAUUCAUUGCAUGACCCCAAUACUUGUGUGCACCAUAUGCUCCCCUUGAAUGAAAAUGAUAUUGAUGCGCCAUAUACUUGCAUUCAAAAUUUGCAUCCCCAUCGUGUCAUACAUAAUAACUAUUCUUUCAUGAUGGAUGACAUGUUCAUAUACCAUGCAUCAAAUUUCUUUGAGCAUUUCUUAUCUUGUGCUAACUCACACGUGCACAUACACAUCAUGAUGGAUGAUGUGUACAUUUACCACGCGCACAAUUUCUUUGGUUUGUGUCUCUUUUGUGUAGGUACCCAUGAAUACUUGUUAACCUCGCAAUCCCACGAGUUGACAAAACGAGCUCUAGAGAGCAACGAUGAUUUGGAUCCCAUGGAUUGUCUUUCCCACCGCUCUCUUCGCGCAUUCAUUCUACAUGGCCCUCACUUGGCUAUGGGUUAUUGUUCAUUACAUGUCAUAUGCCCAUCUUGCCAUGUUCACUUUGCAUGA